CGGGAUCGAACCGCCGACCCUCUGCUUGUAAGGCAGAUGCUCUCCCAGCUGAGCUAAUCACCCUUCACUCUCGAAG
RNAcentral lists this transfer RNA (76 nucleotides) under Pseudomonas aeruginosa. Its description in RNAcentral is "tRNA-Val". Lineage: Bacteria; Pseudomonadati; Pseudomonadota; Gammaproteobacteria; Pseudomonadales; Pseudomonadaceae. The record is from RNAcentral.